GUCGCGAGUCAGACGCGCCGUCGGAGGCAGAAGAUGCUUUCAUACCUGCAGCCGCUUCCUGGCGCUGGCGCUUAGCUUGAACCAGCCUCGGCCAGUCUGGGGCUCGUCAGACCUGCAGUGACUUGCUGACUGAAGUCGCGGACAUAGGUUGCCUCCUCCACAGACGUGCCGCACCUUGGCAGAUGUCACUCAUCAGAAGGCUGCUAGGGGAGUUCAUGCUUUCUCAGGGAAAUUCUAUGGGGGAAGAGAAGAAUCACCUGUAUGAUAACAACUGAUCUCUAGAUGCACAAAGGAACAUGAUUUCCAUCCUGAUCAAACCUGGUGAAGGCAGCCAUAAGAUCAUGCUCUGCAUGUCCCAGUCUGAGAAGAGAGUGAUGAAAUGACUUUUGUCACUUGAAUAUGGACUUCUCAUCCUUCUAUUAGGCUCUGAUGCUGAAGUUACCUUUCUGGCCAUCAAAAUAUUCCAACAUGUGCCAUCGACCUCUUCCAUACAAUGGCCUGCCAAUCACGGAAGCCAGAAACUUUUCAGUGUGAAAUACAAUUGUGUUCUUUACUGUGUUUCCUCCUAUCCCCUGCCUGUGUCUCCAUGAAUUAAUCAAAUAAAGAAAC
Molecule: long non-coding RNA, 609 nt
Organism: Jaculus jaculus (lesser Egyptian jerboa)
Lineage: Eukaryota; Metazoa; Chordata; Mammalia; Rodentia; Dipodidae
Exons: 4
Source: RefSeq, a predicted model, not a curated record